This 487-nucleotide ribosomal RNA is filed under the name uncultured bacterium. RNAcentral's name for it is "bacterial SSU rRNA". It matches the Rfam family "Bacterial small subunit ribosomal RNA", at positions 15 to 518 of the family's 1533-position model. The record is from RNAcentral.
GAUUAUGGCUCAGGACGAACGCUGGCGGCGUAGCCUAACACAUGCAAGUCGAGCGAGGAGAUCCUCAGGAUGAUCCUAGCGGCGACGGGUGAGUAACACGUGGGCAACCUGCCUCAUAGAGAGGAAUAGCCUUCCGAAAGGGAGAUUAAUACCUCAUAACAUUGCAGUUUCGCAUGGAACAGCAAUUAAAGGAGUAAUCCGCUAUGAGAUGGGGCCCGCGGCGCAUUAGGCUAGUUGGUGAGGUAACGGCUCACCAAGGCGACGAUGCGUAGCCGACCUGAGAGGGUGAUCGGCCACAUUGGGACUGAGACACGGCCCAGACUCCUACGGGAGGCAGCAGUGGGGAAUAUUGCACAAUGGGGGAAACCCUGAUGCCAGCAACGCCGCGUGAGUGAUGACGGCCUUCGGGUUGUAAAGCUCUGUCUUCAGGGACGAUAAUGACGGUACCUGAGGAGGAAGCCACGGCUAACUACGUGCCAGCCGCCGC